Molecule: ribosomal RNA, 434 nt
Filed under: uncultured Lachnospiraceae bacterium
Lineage: Bacteria; Bacillati; Bacillota; Clostridia; Lachnospirales; Lachnospiraceae
Description: bacterial SSU rRNA
Rfam family: Bacterial small subunit ribosomal RNA
Source: RNAcentral
ACGGGAGGCAGCAGUGGGGAAUAUUGCACAAUGGGCGAAAGCCUGAUGCAGCGACGCCGCGUGAAGGAUGAAGUAUUUCGGUAUGUAAACUUCUAUCAGCAGGGAAGAAAAUGACGGUACCUGACUAAGAAGCCCCGGCUAACUACGUGCCAGCAGCCGCGGUAAUACGUAGGGGGCAAGCGUUAUCCGGAUUUACUGGGUGUAAAGGGCGUGUAGGCGGAGCUGCAAGUCAGAUGUGAAAUCCCGGGGCUCAACCCCGGAACUGCAUUUGAAACUGUAGCCCUUGAGUAUCGGAGAGGCAAGCGGAAUUCCUAGUGUAGCGGUGAAAUGCGUAGAUAUUAGGAGGAACACCAGUGGCGAAGGCGGCUUGCUGGACGACAACUGACGCUGAGGCGCGAAAGCGUGGGGAGCAAACAGGAUUAGAUACCCUGGUA